RNAcentral lists this ribosomal RNA (97 nucleotides) under uncultured bacterium. RNAcentral describes it as "partial 16S ribosomal RNA". It matches the Rfam family "Bacterial small subunit ribosomal RNA", at positions 1386 to 1482 of the family's 1533-position model. The record is from RNAcentral.
CACACCGCCCGUCACACCAUGGGAGUGGGUUCCACCAGAAGCAGGUAGUCUAACCGCAAGGGGGGCGCCUGCCACGGUGAGAUUCAUGACUGGGGUG